Crotalus tigris (Tiger rattlesnake) is the source of this 1290-nucleotide long non-coding RNA. RefSeq lists it as uncharacterized. Lineage: Eukaryota; Metazoa; Chordata; Lepidosauria; Squamata; Viperidae. The transcript is spliced from 3 exons. The record is from RefSeq and is a predicted model, not a curated record.
AAGAAUUUUCUAAAAUUUAAUUUCAAGACAAAAAAUAAACUCAAUAGUUCUCUAAUAUUACAAAAUAUUAUAAAAAGUGACACGAACUUAUAUUGAGUGAUUCUGAUUAGUAGAUAGAAUUGCCUUUUCAAAAAGGGAUGUUACUAUUUUUUCCCGAAACCGGUAUUGUGGUGGCAGCCUAGCCAUUUCUCUACAAGUAUGACAUCACACACAUGUAUGUAUAAUAGAGCUAGUGGCACAAUAUGACAUCACUUCUGUCAUUCUGACAAAAACAGGACAAUUCUGAAACAAUUCUCUCAACACUGGAAAAAAGCAUCCCUACACAAUUGCUUAAGAGGUAAAAAGAAUAUGGAAAAAACAAAAAUGAAGCCAACUAUUCUGAGAUUUCACAGAAGAAGAUUUGUUUUAGGAGGAAGACUUGGAGAUCUUUCAAAUGCAAUGAAGAAAGAUUGGGAUGAAAAUCUGCUUUGACUAAGCUGCAUGUAACUGGAAAACCACUUCCUUGUGAAUCAAAACGUGGGUGAUCUGGAGUAUGGCAGGGCUUUCUUGAAUGAAAAAUGUAAAUUGGAGCAGUUAAUAACCUGAAGGAAGAAGACUGCUAUCUAAAACACAAACUAUGCAACAGGAAGAUAAUAUUACUGAGGUCAUAGAAAGAAAAUGGAAACAUUGCCAUUUUGGAAAAAAAUAUUUUCAUUGAGUAUGUUCUUCAAUCCAAUCAAAAACUGGAUUUCACUUACAAAUAUGCUCAGGAGUUAUGCUUGAUGAAACUGCACUGUCUUUUCUCCAUUAAAAGGAAGAAAGUAGGGCCACAAAAAUCUAAGCAACCACUAGAUGGCAGCAAGGAAGCAGUUUUCUAUAUUAGCUUGAUGACAACUAGAGGUUAUCAGUUGUGAGAUGAGCUACACAAAUUAUUUAAAUAAAUUGCAAAUACCAUCUAAUAAACAACAAAUUAAUAACAUCUGGAUUUUUGAAGAUCCUGUAUUGUACUACUUCAUAUCUAUGUUUGAUUUAAUGAUUAAGGUACUGAGCUAGAACCAAGAGAAUGUGAGUACUAGUCCCACUUUAGCCAUGAAAGCUGGCUGGAUGCUUUGGGCCAGUUAUUCGUUCUUAUCGCAACCCACUUAAUGCUAGUAAAAAAAAAGGGGGGGGGAUGCCCCUGGAUAAGAACUUUCUCAUUCUUAAACAGAAUAACAGAAUAACAGAGUUGGAAAGGACCUUGGAGGUCUUCUUGCCCAACCCCUGCACAAGCAGGAGACCCUAUUCUAUUCCAGGCAAAUGGAUGUCCAGUCU